GAAAGGCGGGCUAAACCCGCGUACAUGCCACCGGGGCAUCCCGGAGGCAGGAAAGGCUUCGGCCGGACAGGGAUGGGCAUGCGGCGCAUUAGGCAGUAGGCGGGGUAACGGCCCACCUAACCGACGAUGCGUAGGGGUUCUGAGAGGAAGGUCCCCCACACUGGUACUGAGACACGGACCAGACUCCUACGGGAGGCAGCAGUGAGGAAUAUUGGUCAAUGGUCGGGAGACUGAACCAGCCAAGCCGCGUGAGGGAGGAAGGUACAGAGUAUCGUAAACCUCUUUUGUCAGGGAACAAAGACUGGGACGCGUCCCCGGAUGAGUGUACCCGAAGAAAAAGCAUCGGCUAACUCCGUGCCAGCAGCCGCGGUAAUACGGAGGAUGCGAGCGUUAUCCGGAUUUAUUGGGUUUAAAGGGUGCGCAGGCGGUCUGUUAAGUCAGCGGUCAAAGCCCGGGGCUCAACCCCGGCCCGCCGUUGAAACUGGCAGUCUCGAGUUGGAGAGAAGUAUGCGGAAUGCGCGGUGUAGCGGUGAAAUGCAUAGAUAUCGCGCAGAACUCCGAUUGCGAAGGCAGCAUGCCGGCUCCACACUGACGCUGAGGCACGAAAGCGUGGGUAUCGAACAGGAUUAGAUACCCUGGUAGUCC
Molecule: ribosomal RNA, 645 nt
Filed under: uncultured bacterium
Lineage: Bacteria
Description: bacterial SSU rRNA
Rfam family: Bacterial small subunit ribosomal RNA
Source: RNAcentral